This 69-nucleotide transfer RNA is filed under the name Ictidomys tridecemlineatus (thirteen-lined ground squirrel). RNAcentral's name for it is "Spermophilus tridecemlineatus (thirteen-lined ground squirrel) tRNA". It matches the Rfam family "tRNA". Rfam says of the family: Transfer RNA (tRNA) molecules are approximately 80 nucleotides in length. Their secondary structure includes four short double-helical elements and three loops (D, anti-codon, and T loops). Lineage: Eukaryota; Metazoa; Chordata; Mammalia; Rodentia; Sciuridae. The record is from Rfam by way of RNAcentral.
GGGGCUGUGACUCAGCAGUAGAGUGCUCACCUUGCAAAUGUGAAGCCCUGGGUUCAAUCCUCAGCACCA